UUGAACGCUGGCGGCAGGCCUAACACAUGCAAGUCGAGCGGAUGAAGGGAGCUUGCUCCUGGAUUCAGCGGCGGACGGGUGAGUAAUGCCUAGGAAUCUGCCUGGUAGUGGGGGAUAACGUCCGGAAACGGGCGCUAAUACCGCAUACGUCCUGAGGGAGAAAGUGGGGGAUCUUCGGACCUCACGCUAUCAGAUGAGCCUAGGUCGGAUUAGCUAGUUGGUGGGGUAAAGGCCUACCAAGGCGACGAUCCGUAACUGGUCUGAGAGGAUGAUCAGUCACACUGGAACUGAGACACGGUCCAGACUCCUACGGGAGGCAGCAGUGGGGAAUAUUGGACAAUGGGCGAAAGCCUGAUCCAGCCAUGCCGCGUGUGUGAAGAAGGUCUUCGGAUUGUAAAGCACUUUAAGUUGGGAGGAAGGGCAGUAAGUUAAUACCUUGCUGUUUUGACGUUACCAACAGGAUAAGCAUCGGCUAACUUCGUG
This 483-nucleotide ribosomal RNA is filed under the name uncultured bacterium. RNAcentral's name for it is "partial 16S ribosomal RNA". It matches the Rfam family "Bacterial small subunit ribosomal RNA", at positions 30 to 507 of the family's 1533-position model. The record is from RNAcentral.